CCUGAAGCGGGCGUGCGCGAACUGGCGGCCGCCCACUUCCUCAGCCCCGGCCUAGGCCGCCGAACAGCGGCGCGAAUACCUAGGUUUGGCGUAGGUAGCGUUGACCCACCACGGACGCCGGGGUAGAGCUAAGGGCGGCGACAGUGGCUGGAUCCAGAGGCCAGAGCUGGAGUUAAGGAAGGACAAGGAGGGAUAGUUCGUCCAGUAGCGGAGGACACCGUAGCGGAUAGUAUAGAUCGGUAUAGCAGGCGGCCGCCACGGUGGUCUAAGUCGCAGGUGUACACGCCACGCUAACGGCAGGAUCUACCGAAGGCGUGUAGGUACGGAACGGAUGUCCAUGUUGGUCGGAAAGGGGUAAGCGUUAUACGGAUCCGAUCUCUACCUCCGGGGUACACUCUUAGUGGGUUCUGUAACGAUACCAAUACCAUCUAUGUGACCUAAAUUAUACACUCAAGGUAUUAUAUGUAUAAAAAAGAUGAACAGGAUCCAUAAGGUUUAUUUAAGUCUUAAGAGAAUAAAUAAUAUACACACCAAAUUAACGAAAAGCAUCACGUGUAACAACCACUACGCAAAAAUUAACUUAAGAAGAGAAAAUCUGAAAAUGACCUAACUCGUCUUGUUUUUUCUUAUCUGCAAAAACAAAUCAAAUAAAUAUUGUCUUUUUCCUUGAACCUUCCGCUAAGUCAAAACAGUAUCCUUAACUACGAUUCAUAGAACACGUAAAUUGAGACUCCCCUUUGACGUGGGUAUGUUUAAGUUCUUAGUUAAUAGAUUGGUCCAAAUGAUUUGUAGAUACGUAAAGAGAAUAAAUAAAACGUAUAAGUAAUGAUAAAACACUAAACCAACACUAUUGGUUGCCCUCCUUCUUCUAGCGGAGGUCGUACGACUCUGGAGUUCCGUUGAGUUCUCGUCUAGCGGUUACCUUCGAUGUGGUAGGACGAGGUCGGCCUAGACCUGCGGCCGCGCGGUACUAAGUGGUUCCCGUGGCAGCACUCCAAGCACGUCGUGUGACCUCCAAGCCCUCGCGCACUACUGGUAGUACAGGUUCUAUGACGUCGAGCUCCUGUGGUAUCGGCAGGUCUCGUUACUAUAGAACCUAACUUUAGACGUCUUCCGGUGCUAUCCUUUGGCCAAUUGAGGCACCUUCAUGUAGGAGAGGAGGAGACUACAACUACACUUUAGAGGAAGACGUUCCAUUGAUCUGUUAGGUAAGGAUGUUUAAACGUUCGAAACAAAGAGUGUUCAGAAGGUGAGUUGGGGUCUGUUAUAAAGUAACUUAGACACUUAAAAGAGGACUUGACUGUCUACGUCAACGUCCAGUUUUGUAACACUAUACUCCAUUACCUUUAUAAAUACCUCCUUUAAAUGAAAAUUUGUAGCAUAUCCAAUAGAAAUAGAUUUAGUACACCAGGAAAAAGUCAAUACUCAACGUCAUCAUGAUGUACUUCUAAUAUUUAAUCCAUGCUAACAAAAACGAAAGAUUAAGUACUCAUGUUCGCAUGUUUGAGUCAUAGAUAAAAGUGGUACAGUACCGUGCCGUUGGCACCCCGCUUAUACUAACUUGGAAUAUUCGACCGGAGUUCUUGUAUUUGUGACCAAGGUAAAAUAAAAGGACCUGGAGUAUUUAUGAGUAAAACGAAUAUUGUCAAGGCUCCAUACUGUUUUUCUAAUUCGUCUUUCGUUACGAACGAUGUCUAAAGACAUUGACAGAAAGAAAUCUUGCAGAUCGGGAAACAUAUAUAAAGGAUCUCUAUUUUUUUUGGAUUAGCGAGAUCGACCCGAAUUUAAAUCCUGUAAGAAAAACCAACAAAAAAAAACGCUUUUUAACAAAAACCAACAACUUAUUCCAAAGUGUUGCCACCAUCUCUAUCAAGCUUGAACGUUAUCGAGACACAGUCUACUUUUUGUUGUUGUGUUCUUCGCUCGUACAGUUAGUACCCAUAACAAUAACAAGUUGAAAAGGUUAUCACAACGUCUUUUGUACAACAACGGCUAACUUGCUUACAAUACAAAAGUUUCUCUUAAGUUCAAGCAGAAAAUACAUAAAUAUACACGACUACGUUAUUUUAAACUAACUUAGAAGAAACUUUAAAUAAAGUCAUGAUUACGUAUUGAUUCAUUACUAUAGAUCGAACUCGUCGAGUUGAUACUGCGUGACCUAUGUGCGAUCCAUAUGACUGUAGAAUGCGUAUAGAAGCGAAAAUAAAGUCAAUAGUGAAAACCACAUCUUGAGAAACAGAAGGUAAAAUAUGUACUACAAUAAAACGAUAUAGUCAAUACAACAGGACUGGCCUAUCAAUAGAAAAGACAUUCGCUGUGUCCACCAACGACUAACCAACUGUAAAAUUAAAUCUGGAAUGAAUUAAGCAUGUUCACAUCACUGUGGUAAAAGGUACAACCAAACAAAACCAUUCGUAAAAGUACAUAUUUUACCUUAACGGCCAGACGGUGAAAUAAUGUAUAUCGAAAGUCGGACUAACUAGAAAUUGUUUUGUGGUUUGUUUUUCCUUUUCAUACUAAUGGCGUAUAGGGACGAUGACGAACAUACCAUCAUAAAUCAUAUAUAGUAAUAAACUAUAACGUUGAUUAAAUUAAGAACAAUCCUACAAACAGGAUACUUACACUACGGGAGGUGUUCUUUGUCGGUCGACGUAAUCCGUCUGUAUUUAGAAGAAACAAAGCCUUGUACCACCGGAAAACCAUCUCCGUACACUUCUAAGGUAAAUGCGUACUACAUAUGUUAGAUGAGGUAGGCAAGGAUUUAUAUUCAAAAAUUUCUUUAAAAUUAUAUUUGAUGUAUGCUUACAUAUAUCUGUAUCAAAUCUCGCAUCUAAGUGUGUAAAACGAGGUAUACAUCAGGUAUAACCUUAGAGAUUUUUCCUGAUUAUAAAUAUUUGUCUCCCUCAUAAAGAAUAACGGAUAAUAGACAUGACUAAUCAACAUAAAUGAUAGAUAUAACAAGACAUACAACGAUAUGGUUCGGUUAAACAUAUACACUGGAACGGA
Molecule: ribosomal RNA, 3006 nt
Filed under: Triticum aestivum (bread wheat)
Lineage: Eukaryota; Viridiplantae; Streptophyta; Magnoliopsida; Poales; Poaceae
Description: partial small subunit ribosomal RNA
Source: RNAcentral